This 1093-nucleotide long non-coding RNA is filed under the name Equus caballus (horse). RNAcentral describes it as "lncRNA (ENSECAG00000059447.1)". The record is from RNAcentral. Lineage: Eukaryota; Metazoa; Chordata; Mammalia; Perissodactyla; Equidae.
CCGCCUCCCACUGGCCGAGUCCCGGAGGGAUGUGAAGGGACGACUGGGACUGGGGAGUUAGGAAGGUCUGACGGCUGCCACGUGCGGCGGCGGGUCUGCUGUGUGCAACUCGUUUUUCCAGGAAUCAAGUCUGGACUCGGCCUCCUCCCCAUCUUCCGCCGCCUCCCCCGCAGUUCGCUUCCUUUCACCACCUGCGUGCCUGCGGGUCUUUGCAGAGUAUCCCCCUCGUCCAAGCCCAAGAAGCUACCUGCCUUUCUAACUGCUUGUGGGCACUGGCUUGACGUCCCAGGAACUGUCCACUUUGCCUGCUGUCCUGUGCUUGCUCCAGCCAAAGUGCCUCAUUUCCACCGCUUUGGGGAGAAACUCGCCCUUGUGGCCCUGUUGGAAAGCAGAAAUUAAGGAGUUUACAGGCGUGGUGACAGUAGGAUUUGCUGAGAGCAGAGAACAACCACGAUUCCCAGGCCAGUAUCCACGGGGCAUUCUCACCAACCCAUUCAAGUGCAGGGGCGUCAAGAAAACUCAGCUUCCAUUGACGAGCCUAAUCUCCACUCAGGCCUGACUGGCCAGUGUCUUAGAGACACAGGUGACCCUGAUCCCUCAGGAACAGACAGACUGUGUUCCAGCUUUGGGAGAGCCAUGUGCGAGGUGCAGAGCGCCUGGGCGGCAUUUGAAACCUGUCGGCUUUAACAUCUCUGCUUUGGAAGGAAGCUCAUCACAGACAGCAGUCAGCGAUGUGACUUUGACUUGCCUGGUCUGAUCUGUUGGAUUUUUCUGUCUGGAAAUGGAAAUACCCAGAAGCACUUCUGCUGCCAUUUAUCCUCUUAAUAAUUGACGUCCCUAUAUUCCUUAUGCCCUAAGGGACAGUUCCUUUGAUUGCUGGGUGGUACAGAAGUAAACACAUGUAGGGACGCUAGGUUAUCAAAGCACAUAUUCAUCACGAACACAAUGUGGCCCUACCACACGACAGGAGAUGCGCCUGGAGGACGCGCAGGAGGUGCUACGUUAACAGCGGCGCCGCUGAGCAGCGGAGUUACUGAUCUACUUUAUUUCCAUCUUAAUUUUUCAAAUUUACUACAACAUGAUUAUAAUAAGG